UAGCAGCGGUUGCCUGGAGACCGCGCAGCCUGUGCUGUGUUGGCGCGUUGGUCUGCGGGUCGCGGCCGGCGGGACUCCGGCGCCAUGGCGCCCAAAAAGAAAGGGAAGAAAGGGAAAGCCAAAGGUACCCCGAUCGUUGACGGUCUCGCUCCGGAGGACAUGAGCAAGGAGCAGGUGGAGGAGCACAUUGGCCGCGUCCGGGAGGAGCUGAGCCGUGAGCGGGAGGAGCGCAGCUACUUCCAGCUGGAGCGGGACAAAAUCCACACUUUCUGGGAGAUCACGCGGAGGCAGCUGGAGGAGAAGAAGGCUGAACUGAGGAACAAAGACCGGGAGAUGGAGGAGGCUGAGGAGAGGCACCAGGUGGAGAUCAAGGUCUAUAAGCAGAAAGUGAAGCACUUGCUGUACGAGCAUCAGAACAGCUUGAUGGAGAUGAAGGCGGAGGGCACCGUGGUCAUGAAGCUGGCGCAGAAGGAGCACCGCAUGCAGGAGGGGACGCUGUGCAGGGACGUGCGGGCGCUGAAGGUGGGGCUGAAGGAGCAGGAGCUGGCCAGCGAGGUGGCGGUGAAGAACCUAAGGCUGAAACACGCCGAGGAGAUCACCAAGAUACGCAAGGACUUUGAGCGGCAGGUGCGAGAAAUCGAGGCCAAGUAUGAUAAGAAGGUCAGGAUGCUUAGGGAUGAGCUUGACCUGCGCCGGAAGACAGAGAUCCACGAGGUGGAGGAGAGGAAGAACGGCCAGAUCAGCAUGCUUAUGCAGCGCCACGAGGAGGCCUUCACGGACAUCAGGAACUAUUACAACGAAAUCACCCUCAACAACCUGGCUCUCAUCAACUCCCUCAAGGAGCGGAUAGAGCGCAUGCGGAAGAGGGAGGAGCUCCUGGAGAAGGAGGUGACGGAGGCGGCCACGCAGAACAGGCGCCUGGCAGACCCCCUGCAGGAGGCUCGGGACGAGAUGAGUGAGAUGCAGAAGCAGCUUGGGGGCUACGAGAGGGACAAGCAGAUCCUGCUGUGCACGAAAGCCCGUCUGAAAGUCACCGAGAAGGAGCUGAAGAGCCUGCAGUGGGAGCACGAGGUGCUGGAGCAGCGCUUCACCAAGGUGCAGCAGGAGCGGGACGAGCUGUACCGGAAGUUCACCGCAGCCGUCCUGGAGGUGCAGCAGAAGGUGGGCUUCCAGAACCUCGUCUUGGAGCGCAAGGUACAGGCACUGGCCGCCGUGGUGGAGAAGAAGGAGGUGCAGUUCAACGAGGUGCUGGCAGCCUCCAGCCUGGACCCUGCGGCCCUGACCCUCGUGUCCCGCAAGCUGGAGGACGUUCUGGAAUCGAAGAACAGCACCAUCAAGGACUUGCAGUACGAGCUGGCCCGGGUCUGCAAGGCCCACAAUGACUUGCUGCGUACCUAUGAGGCGAAGCUCCUGGCCUUUGGGGUCCCCCUGGACAACGUGGGCUUCAAGCCCCUGGAGACGGCCGUGAUCGGGCAGACGCUGGGCCAGGGCCCCGCAGGACUCGUGGGCACCCCAGCGUAGCCCCUGCCCGGGGCCACUGCCCGGGUGACACCCCCCUCACGCACCGAGGACAGCAGGUGAGUGUGAUGCUGGAGCCGCAGCAUUCUACCCCCGCCCCCUCCCCGGCACCAGGAGGACAGACACGGGCCCUACGGAAGACACACGCUGAGGACGAAAGAAGCUGCAUCCCUGGUGUUGCCACUGGGCUGCCUGGCAGGUGGGUGGGGCCUUUCGCGUCUGGAUUGUGUUACGUGCAGUGAUUUUAAACCACUCGCGUUGAUUUUUCCAGGUGGGUAGCCCAAAGCGUUUCUGCUUCAGGGAGUUGAGAUCAUGCAGGUAAAACGUAUAACUACACACAGGGUGCUCAGUACCUUGGAACUGACCAUUCUUCCCGGGUGGCCAAGACGCUGAGCAGCAACGAGAGACUCCCGUCCUCCUGUCCCAGUGAGAAGGCAGCUGGUCGGGCUGCCGUCUGGGUCUGCGCUGGUGCUGGGAGGUCCCCGCCCUACCCUGAGCCCCUGGAGAGGCCCACGUGGGACCACCCUCUGGGGCCCCGCUGAGGCACUGCAGCUGUGCUAUGACACGAAGGGUGCCCGAGCCCCUGCCCCUACUCCACACCCCACCCCCGGAGUCCUUCCAGGCCGCUGUGACGGGAAUUUGUGGUCAGAACUCAACGGAAGGGACAUGAGGGCAGCUGGGACCUUCCUCCACUGAGGAAAUAUUGAACAUCGCCAGGUACACUGAGGUGACACAGGUGACAAGGGGAAGGCCAUUUCACAUGGUACUGUGCGCUGAGAAGGCCACACGAUGGGCGGUGCCAGAGGGUGACAGGUGCUGGAGGUCAGGGGGCCUGCCGGCAGGCUGAGGAAGGCGAAGCCAAGGGUGGGGGUCACAGGAGGGGUGCAUUUGGCCCCCGGUAGAAUUUCAGCUCCCCAAGGACCUAGGUUAUUGUCUGUUUCCUCAAGGCUGUUCCCGUGCCUGGGUUAGGACCUGGCCAGAGGUAGGUGCUAAAUCAAUAUCCCUUGAAUGAAUGGACAGAAGGAGUGUGCAGAUAUGCACAGAGGGCCAGUGAGUGUGCAGAUACGCAAGGGCAGAGACGUCAGGCUGCAGAGCGGGAGUUAAGUAGAUGAAGAAGGCAGAGAUGCAAGAGAGCGCGGGAGGGAGAGAGGCAUGGUUUCCGGGCCCUGCUUCCCAGCCCUCACAGGGCUCUCCUCCACCCCAAGCCCGUCUGCACUCUGUUUCUUUACGGGAAGCUCCCUCUGUCCUUCACUCACCCGUGUGUCCUGCACUGCGCGUCUCUGAAGCAGCUCCGAGUCUGUUCCCACCACACCACCUGUGCCCGAAGCCUCCUUAGCCCUAAGCCGGGGCAUCGGAGAGCUCUGGCCAGAGAUGAGGCCCCUUCCCUGCCCCGGGACAACCGCACCUUGUCUGUGUCGUGGACUCUGCUUUCUGCACCUGUGUGCCCGUUCGGGUCACUGCCUGGGCCAGGAUUGGCUGCCCUCGCCCUGGGACAGGGAGCAUUCGUGGGUCAGUGCAUCCCAGCGGGUUCUAAUGUUCCGCCAGGCUGAGGACCGCUGGCCUGCAUCAUGACACUGCUGCUCAGCAGUGACACAUGGGCCACCGUAGAACAUAGUUCACGAGACAUCCGCUGGUCUCAGCUGGACUGCGAGGUCGGGCCGAGGAUGGGAGUAUUGGUGCCUCUGGUGCCUGGGAUUGCGGCUGCGAUCACAAGCCUUCACCUUGGGGGUUGCCGGCACACAGGCACGUGGUGGUCAGCGCGGGGAUCAGAGGUGCUGCCAGAGAGCAGACACACCAAAUGUGGGGGGCCUUCCCUCCACUAAGGGACUGGCUUCCCGGGCGCUGUCUUGUCAGGCACACCUCAGGGCUCAUCUUGGCCCACCACUCAGCAGAGAAGCAGACUUUGAUAAAUUCAGACCAUCCCCUUCCAAAACUGACCCAGGAGGAGACUUCCCCCGGAUUGAGAUCUGCUCAACGUAUUCCCAGUCCCAGCACCGAACUGGGGGGUCCUGGGACCCCUUCAGUUAUGUGGUCAACACUUACGGGGUCAGGAUGCCAGGAAUGUUUUCCGGUUUCACCAGGGGAUGUGGUCUAAUUUUGUGGCAGGCAGAGCCACUUCUUUUUGCCAGGUAGAGGAGGGGCCUUGUGGGUACAGUUCUGAUUUCCUCCAGGGGUCCCUCAGGGCGCGUUGUGCCCGGGGCUCACCGUCAGCCUGUGUGCGCCAGCAGGACCCCGCCUGCAGCAGCCGCCUCUUCUGACUGGUUGGUCCAUGUGCCAGCUGGUCUGGGGUCUGUUCUCAUGGGUUGAGUGUCUGUUCUGAGUGGCUGGUGUCUUCUUCUUUGUUUAAUCGAUAUUUUUUUAAUUGACAUAU
Molecule: RNA transcript, 3889 nt
Organism: Balaenoptera ricei (Rice's whale)
Lineage: Eukaryota; Metazoa; Chordata; Mammalia; Artiodactyla; Balaenopteridae
Gene: GAS8
Gene name: growth arrest specific 8
Exons: 12
Source: RefSeq, a predicted model, not a curated record